AUUGAACGCUGGCGGCAUGCCUUACACAUGCAAGUCGAACGGCAGCACGGGUGCUUGCACCUGGUGGCGAGUGGCGAACGGGUGAGUAAUACAUCGGAACAUGUCCUGUAGUGGGGGAUAGCCCGGCGAAAGCCGGAUUAAUACCGCAUACGAUCUACGGAUGAAAGCGGGGGACCUUCGGGCCUCGCGCUAUCGGGUUGGCCGAUGGCUGAUUAGCUAGUUGGUGGGGUAAAGGCCUACCAAGGCGACGAUCAGUAGCUGGUCUGAGAGGACGACCAGCCACACUGGGACUGAGACACGGCCCAGACUCCUACGGGAGGCAGCAGUGGGGAAUUUUGGACAAUGGGCCAAAUCCUGAUCCAGCAAUGCCGCGUGUGUGAAGAAGGCCUUCGGGUUGUAAAGCACUUUUGUCCGGAAAGAAAUCCUUGGCCCUAAUACGGUCGGGGGAUGACGGUACCGGAAGAAUAAGCACCGGCUAACUACGUG
RNAcentral lists this ribosomal RNA (486 nucleotides) under uncultured bacterium. RNAcentral's name for it is "partial 16S ribosomal RNA". It matches the Rfam family "Bacterial small subunit ribosomal RNA", at positions 30 to 507 of the family's 1533-position model. The record is from RNAcentral.